AUUCUCUUUCUCACCUUUCUGGUAACUUUUAGGUAUGUAUCUAUAUUGGCCAGGGCAGACUAGGUCAUGCUGUGGAAACAAAACACUCUAAAAUCUCGACGGCUUAACACAACAGCAAACAUUUUUUUCUUGCUCAAGAAAAAACCUACCUACUGCAGAUCCAGCUGACCCUCCUAUCCUUCAUGCAGCAACUCCACAAUCCAGGCUGCUUUGACCUUAUGGUGCCAUCACCUAAAUAUGAGGCAUUCCGCAAGAUCACUUCAGCUGCAAUGAGCUGCUUCAGCCCAGGAGUGACACGUGCCCCUUACAGUCACAGCCUGUUGGCCAGGACAGCUAUCCAGCCUCACUUGGCUGCCAGAGGAGAGAAAUGUGAUCCUUCCAUGUGCCCAGGAGAGGAGCACAGAUACGCGGAUAUGGGUCACCCUUAAGAACCAGCUGUCCCAGCUAGCCAUUGUGGCCCAAGCUCCCCAAGACAUGGCCCACUGGAGGUAAGUCCCAGGAGACCUUCCGGCUUUUGAAAAAUCCAGAGCUCACUUCACGAAAGACCCACAGGUGUACCUGGACACUUUGAUCUCAAUGCUCCAAUAUAAAGAGCCUGACGUAUAUACCCUUGGGCUGCCUGCUACUUACCUUUGGCCCAUCAGGUAGAAGGCAGACUUGGCAGGGAGUCUUUCUGCAUGUGACCUACUGAUAUUUGAUCUUUUCAUGGCUGAUUACUGGGAAAUGGGGGAAGAAGUUCUGCAGAAUUAGCUUAUCUCUGGGGAGACUGUCAGGUAUGAUUGUGAUAUGCACUCUCUUUUUUUUUUUUUCCUGCAAUCACAUCAGAGAGUGAAAUAGCAUGGUCUUUUAAGGCACACAUGCAGAAGUGCAGCCGAUUCAUUUCCAUUCUGUCUGUCCAGCACAUCCUCCAGGAAUUCUCCCAUGACUCCAAUCCCUAUAGAUGGCUCCUUUCUAUAGAUGUCUCCUAGAUGUCUGUAGGAUAGUCCUAUAGAUAUCUCCUAGAUGUCUGUAGGAUAGUCCUAUAGAUGUCUCCUAGAGCAGGCUUUGGCAAACUAUUGUCCACAUGCCAAACUUGGCCAAGCAUCUGUUUUUCUAAAUAAAGUUUUAUUGAAAUACACCCAUGUUUAUUGUUGUCUAUGACUGCUUUUGUGCUAU
RNAcentral lists this long non-coding RNA (1155 nucleotides) under Pan paniscus (pygmy chimpanzee). Its description in RNAcentral is "lncRNA (ENSPPAG00000044349.1)". The record is from RNAcentral. Lineage: Eukaryota; Metazoa; Chordata; Mammalia; Primates; Hominidae.